GGAGUUGUUGAUAUUAAUACUUCUUAGUCAUUUAGAGGAAGUAAAAGUUGUAACAAGGUUUCAGUAGAUGAACCUGCGGAAGGAUCAAUAUCGAAGCCCGAACGUCUUGGUCAGUUAGAGGAAGUAAAAGUCGUAACAAGGUUUCCGUAGGUGAACCUGCGGAAGGAUCAUUAAAGAGUAAGGGUGGCUUCUGCCCCCGACCUCCAACCCUUUGUUGUUAAAACUACCUUGUUGCUUUGGCGGGACCGCUCGGUCCCCGAGCCGCCGGGGCCCCAGGCCCAGGCGAGCGCCCGCCAGAGUCCAACCAAACUCUUGUUUUAAACCGGUCGUCUGAGUUAAAAUUUUGAAUAAAUCAAAACUUUCAACAACGGAUCUCUUGGUUCUCGCAUCGAUGAAGAACGCAGUGAAAUGCGAUAAGUAAUGUGAAUUGCAGAAUUCAGUGAAUCAUUGAAUCUUUGAACGCACAUUGCGCCCCUUGGUAUUCCGAGGGGCAUGCCUGUUCGAGCGUCAUUACACCACUCAAGCACUGCUUGGUAUUGGGCGACCGUCCCCCUCACGGGGGGCGCGCCUCAAAGACCUCGGCGGAGCCUCAGCGGCUUUGGGCGUAGUAGAAUUUCAUUCGAACGUCCGUCAAUGGAGAGGCCUCCUUUGUCCGACUGAAGCCUUUUAAUUUUUCUAAGGUUGACCUCGGAUCAAGUAUGGAUACCCGCUGACCUUAAGCAUAUCACUAAGCGGAGG
This 738-nucleotide ribosomal RNA is filed under the name Aureobasidium sp. AmEc2. RNAcentral's name for it is "eukaryotic LSU rRNA". The stretch from base 357 to 510 matches the Rfam family "5.8S ribosomal RNA". The record is from RNAcentral. Lineage: Eukaryota; Fungi; Ascomycota; Dothideomycetes; Dothideales; Saccotheciaceae.